Molecule: long non-coding RNA, 1152 nt
Filed under: Homo sapiens (human)
Lineage: Eukaryota; Metazoa; Chordata; Mammalia; Primates; Hominidae
Description: non-protein coding lnc-IVNS1ABP-4:1
Source: RNAcentral
UAUGUCAUCCAUAUGAACGGUAAUGGUCUUCUCUCCUUAGUCCUGAUAUUGACAAUAAACAUCAAUAGGAGAAAUCAAGAAAAAUGAAAAGCAAAAGAUGUCUACUAUAUACUUAACUACACUUUUCAUCCCUAUUGAUUAUUGUAAAUAAGGUUAAAAAAAAAAAGAGGCGCCAAAUGUGAACAAAACCAUGAUUGUUAUUAGUAGAGAACCCAGUCUGUAAAAUAUUUUCUGGACAGGAGGGAACACAGGGACUAUGCCCUACCCACUGGCUACCAACUAAAUGAGGAGAGACCGUUUCACAUUACCAGAAUCCAGGAGCACACUCAGAAGUAAAAGGUGAUAUUCUGAUAAUCAGCUGCAGCCAUAUUACUGAAAUUUGCUUAGUUGUGCCAGGGUAAAAGAUGUAAAAUUCUAGUCCCAGUUUCAUCUUUAUGUGACUUUGGGUCAAUCUAUGGGAGCUGAAAUCAAUGCCACAAUUUAUUGUUAGAAAAGUCAUGAGAAGUGGACUGGAAAUAUCUGAAAAUCUCUGACUGAUGAAAAGACAGCUUGUGUUAUCAAAAAUCCAUCUCGUUAAUUAGGUUUAGUGUUCAGUUGAAACCACCUUCAAAAAAUUUUAAAACUCUGUCUACAAAACAGCAUAUUCUUAUCUUAGCUAGUGAGUCCGUGUAGAUAAGGUGUUUUCAAGCCUCUUCUGUGAUAUACUAGCCAAGCAAUGGAUGGAUCCUCAUUCAUGACUAAAGAGACAUUUUUGGCAAAGUGAUCUGAGAUGAGCUGGUAAAGUUAGGCCGGGGGACCAUGGGAUCCUAACUUCAUUAUUCAGGAAAUUCUGAAAAACACCAACCACAGUGCACCCCAAGAGUUCAUCACAACACUCUGAGUUUCCUCAAAUCCAGCACUUUUUUUUUUGUUACUGGGUAUUGGGAGCCAUGUACCUCAUGAUUAGAAGCAAGAUGGAACAUUCCCCAGAAUAUGGGAAUGAUGUGGAAUUCACUGAGUAGUUAGUUGUUAAAUACUUUCUUUGCUUUGCUUUCUAGCAUUAUGCUUCCUUGGAUGAUAAUCUUAGUACUUGGGAUGCUGGUACUGCUGGAGGCCAGUUCUAUGAUCAGGGUUAACAAUGUACUAAAGGGAGCCAGAAACAAGUAUGACAAA